RNAcentral lists this long non-coding RNA (868 nucleotides) under Sarcophilus harrisii (Tasmanian devil). RNAcentral describes it as "lncRNA (ENSSHAG00000031538.1)". Lineage: Eukaryota; Metazoa; Chordata; Mammalia; Dasyuromorphia; Dasyuridae. The record is from RNAcentral.
GCCAGAACUUGAAACAAUGAUUCUUACAAGGUAUUAACAAAGUAGAAUUGAUGAGACAAUGGUGCUUAAUAGUUCUCUAGUUCAGUAUGAUUGAUUUAAUCUUAUAAGAAAUAAUGGGUUUCCUAGUGAUGUAAUGGUUGGUUUAUACUCAGUGUAGAGUAUAGAAGCUGGCAGCCUCAGCUAAAUUCGUUUUAGAGAGGUUGAGAAGACAAGUGGACUGUAGGCUGAAGCACAAGCCCUUGGAUAGAUUUAUUCAUCCCAUCUUAUACCAUUCUGCUGGCAGGCUCUCCUUCUGCAUUUCUACACUGAGACCAAGGCUGGUCUGAAAGAAUCUCCAGAAAGCUGCCCAGCCCCAGGAAGGAGAUAAUAAAGAAUCUGGACUUUAACACCUGGCUGUUCUCCUGGUGAUUACUGAACUGAAAAGAAGGCUGCCCCAAAGAGCUUCAGAAAACCGAACCAAGAACAUUACAGGCUAGCCCCCUGUCCAGGAAAAGAAGGAAACAACAUCUGUGCAGUUAUAAUCAGGCGUCUCAACAGCCUGCAGAGGACCAAGGCCUGGCCCAAGCAGGGAGCCUGGAGCCAGAGGAAAUGGCCCCUGAGAACAGAAGACCCCCAGCCCAGAUGUAGCCAGCACCAGCCCAAGGAGCCAUGUCCAUGCAUCUGGAGGAUGGUUUGUGAGGCUGGCCAUCUCUUUCUGUGGAUCCUUUACAAAAAUAAGCAGGAAAGUGAAUCCGGUAAUAACAACACUGCCCUUCUCUCUGCUAUGUUUUGGACUGAUUCACUGUCCCUUUGGCAUUUUCAGCACUAACUCACUUCCCCUGGUUGCUGUUCCCACAUGUUUGUUUAAAUUUUCCCUUAAUAUAGGUCA